RNAcentral lists this small RNA (123 nucleotides) under Citrobacter freundii. Lineage: Bacteria; Pseudomonadati; Pseudomonadota; Gammaproteobacteria; Enterobacterales; Enterobacteriaceae. The record is from RNAcentral.
AGGGUCGUACACCGGCAGUGAUCAAAAAAGCGAUGGAAGAACAAGGUAAACAACUGGACGAUUUCUUAAUCAAGGAAUAAUUCAGAAAUAGUUUGCUUAAAAUCCCGCCAGUGGCGGGAUUUU